GCCGAAGUGGUGAAAUUGGUAGACACGCUACCUUGAGGGGGUAGUGACCUACGGUCGUGCCGGUUCAAGUCCGGCCUUCGGCACCA
RNAcentral lists this transfer RNA (86 nucleotides) under Pseudomonadales bacterium. Its description in RNAcentral is "tRNA-Leu". It matches the Rfam family "tRNA". From Rfam's summary of the family: Transfer RNA (tRNA) molecules are approximately 80 nucleotides in length. Their secondary structure includes four short double-helical elements and three loops (D, anti-codon, and T loops). The record is from RNAcentral. Lineage: Bacteria; Pseudomonadati; Pseudomonadota; Gammaproteobacteria; Pseudomonadales.